UUCACUUUAUAAGCAGGUAUCACCGCCCCUUCUCCUUCUUCAAAACCUAACCGUAACCCAGAGAGUCUAAAGAGAGAGGGGAGACAGAGACGGAGAAGUCUCCGGUUUUGACACGGUGGACGCGCCGCACAUGGUUCUCCGGCGUCUACAUGACAGACGGGUCCGCCGUACAUGGUGGUGGGGAGCGGUGGUACCAGGUUUUCUGGUCACCGCAACGGCGGUCAGCAGCCGUAAGUAGUUGCUAGGUUGUCGGUUGUUGUUUAUGUUGACAUCAGCAGAACUUCGGUGACGGCAGAUAGCGUGACAAGGAUGGCUUCAAGAAGCUCUGGCAAAACACCUAGGGUUCCGGUCCUAUUCCGGCGAAGUUCCGUCCAGAAGGAUUAAAGCUUGCAUCUUCCAUUUGUGAGUAUUAAGGUAACAGCAAAAUCUUCGCAACUAGGGCAUGAAUUUGAUAACCUUCGUAUCUGCGCCCCUCUGGACUUCGAGCCUUUUAAAAAGCCACCUUUUUCCCUACGUUGCUUCUUCCGCUUUUGAAAGCAUAAUGAUCGCCAUCUGCCCUUUUUGGGAGUUGCUGAAGGUAACAUGGCUCAACUCAACAAACUCAGGUCGCCAAUUGGCUUCUUUCCGAUUUAACCACCAUCCUCAUCGGAUGAAUCGAUCAAGGCUUGCAUGUCUCAGAUCUGUGUAGAUCGGUAGCCACCCUCGACAACUUAGGUAAUAUAACCAUUUGAUUAUGUUGAAGGUUUCUUUUGAUUCAACAGUACUAGGUGAGUAAACUGGAAAUCAAAUCAAUUGACUAAGCUCUUAUAUUUUUCAUUUCCAUUGCAAUUAUAGGAUAAAUAAAAACCUUGUGGCAAUGAUAAUUCUGGAACUGCGUGAUCUAAUACUCAAAACCUCUUUAUGAAUAUUGAUGUUUUAGAACUACGCAUCAAAGAAAUUAAAGGACUUCCAGCAAGUAAUGAUCAUAACUAAAUGCACCAAUCUGUAUAGUUUAGUUUUACUUUAUACUAGGGGGAAUACCCGUGCGAUGCACGACAUGCAUAAUAGUUAUUGUUUUUUUCUGAAACGACAGUGGGAAGGGUUGUAACUAACAUAACAGUUAUUGCCUUUAUUUUGCCUUUUGAGACCACGCUAUAAUUGUAACUAACAUGUUAACAACUUAUUUAUAUCAAACAAAGUAAAAUCACGUAAUAAUUGUUGAGAUAUAAUAACCCAAAAGGCACCCAUUGUCUCAAGUGUUGUGACAUUGCACCAUAGCUUCCACAUGGAUUUUCAUUUAGCAAGCAAUGCAUUUAUCCAUUCAAAGGAUUUUGGGCACUCCAUAACGAAAACCAGAUAUCAACUGGCCCACUGUACUUGCGAAUUAUGUUAGUACUUACCUGAGAAAACACAAAAUUGAUUGACAGUUGAAAAGUCAAACAUAAGAAAACACAUGUUGCGGCCUCCCACAAAAUGAUCUCAAAAGAAAUGUAGGUAUCACGUUACUUAGCCAAAAGGGAAAAAAGGAAGCAAAAUAUACAUUAAAGCUGGAUGAAAUCAUGAAGAUAUUCUAAACUUUUUAAAAUUAAAGGCAUCUGAAGUUAACGCCAUUUUUGAAGAACAAAGACAUAUAAAAAAUGAAAAACAAAGAUAUACCAGCUCCUAGGCUUCAAGUUCUUGUUAAGUAUCAAGCAUAAACCUUCUGAUAAAAGAAAAGAAGAGCAGUUCUAUCCACAUUUUUAGUCUCGGUUUUCAUAACGCACACACGUCACAUAUACGUAAGUCAAAGACCUAUAUAAAGAGGCAUGCUAAAACUUUAUCAAACCAUGGAUCGUAAUUUGUUCUGUCGGCAUAACUCUUGUGCCAAAAAAAAGGGGAAAAGAUGUCUUCCAAAAUAAAAAACAUGAAACGUAAAUGGAAAAAACGCAGUAGCUCUCGCACGCCUCCUUGUCUUAUUGGCUAACACAUGGACCGAACUUUAGUUAACGCAUGGCACGAUCAUCCCAAAUCCCAUCACCGGUCGACUGCCUGCAGUGAAUUAACAAAAGUAAGACCGUUAAAAAGUCGUAGGUUUUGCAUUUUUUAUCUAAUGUAUGCAGCCUAGCUAGGAAUAAAGUCAAUUGAAACUGUUAAAUGGACUUUGGUAGUUUCUUUGGAAUAAAGGGGAUUUAAAUGUUAAAUGGCAUCUGAAAUUUAAUUAGUUACUGCUAACACUAUAAAAGUGAUAUCUAAAUGUGUAUGUUUGUGUCCAAACGGUGUACCUUUCACGUGGAUCAUCGUCAACGUUUUCUUCUGAAUCCGAACCCGAAUUUGUAUAAGUAGUCCUGCGAAGGAAAGAACGGGAACUUUUCUUGACAAUUAAAAAAAGUUAUAAGGUUGCUUAAAAAAGCUAGGUUUGUUGGUUCAUGGCCCCGAUUAGCCCAACAUAUUUGUCUUUCAUGGGGCCCUUCCUUUGAGGUCGUUUUAGACAUUCAUAACUAACUUAUGUACAUUUUAAUGUAAAAAAAAA
Helianthus annuus (common sunflower) is the source of this 2488-nucleotide long non-coding RNA. RefSeq lists it as uncharacterized. The transcript has 5 exons. Lineage: Eukaryota; Viridiplantae; Streptophyta; Magnoliopsida; Asterales; Asteraceae. The record is from RefSeq and is a predicted model, not a curated record.